ACUGGGUGUGGUCACCUGUGCCUGUAGCCCCAGCUACUUGGAAGGCUGAGGUAGGAGGAUCACUUGAGCCCAGGAGUUCUGGGCUGUAGCACUAUGCCAAUUGGGUGUCCGCACUAAGUUUGGCAUCAAUAUGGUGACCUCCUGGGAGCUGGGGACCACCGGGUUGCCUAAGGAGGGGUGAACCGGCCCAGGUCGGAAAUGGAGCAGGUCAAAACUCCCGUGCUGAUAAGUAGUGGGAUCGAACCUGUGUAUAGCCACUGCACUCCAGCCUGGGUAAGAUAGCAAGACCCUGUCUCU
This 297-nucleotide signal recognition particle RNA is filed under the name Saimiri boliviensis boliviensis (Bolivian squirrel monkey). Its description in RNAcentral is "Metazoan signal recognition particle RNA (ENSSBOG00000003080.1)". It matches the Rfam family "Metazoan signal recognition particle RNA". From Rfam's summary of the family: The signal recognition particle (SRP) is a universally conserved ribonucleoprotein. It is involved in the co-translational targeting of proteins to membranes. The record is from RNAcentral. Lineage: Eukaryota; Metazoa; Chordata; Mammalia; Primates; Cebidae.